CCCUUAGAUGUUCUGGGCCGCACGCGCGCUACACUGAUGCAUUCAACGAGCCUAUCCUUGACCGACAGGUCCGGGUAAUCUUUGAAUCUGCAUCGUGACGGGGAUAGAUUAUUGCAAUUAUUAAUCUUCAACGAGGAAUGCCUAGUAGGCGCAAGUCAUCAGCUUGCGUCGAUUACGUCCCUGCCCUUUGUACACACCGCCCGUCGCUCCUACCGAUUGGGUGUGCUGGUGAAAUGUUCGGAUCGGUCGUUUGUCGCGGUUUCCGCGUCAUGUGGCUGAGAAGUUCAUUAAACCCUCCCACCUAGAGGAAGGAGAAGUCGUAACA
Molecule: ribosomal RNA, 325 nt
Filed under: uncultured eukaryote
Lineage: Eukaryota
Description: partial 18S ribosomal RNA
Rfam family: Eukaryotic small subunit ribosomal RNA
Source: RNAcentral